ACCAGUUAACAAGGGAGAAAACAAGGUCAGCAUGACAAGCACAAGACCCCUAUCCCCUCCCUCUCUGUUGCUUGCGUCAUCGCUCAUGGGAAACUGCCAAAAAUGACAAGACCAUUAAUCAUUGAAGAGACUUUUGAUAUUCAGAAAAUUGAACUGCGAACUAUCAAGGAUCCACCAAAGAGCGGAGGGGCCAUGGCAUUGAAUCUGAUAAACCGUCAUGGCUGCCCCUAUCAGUAGCUCAAGCUGCAGGCUGAAAGUGGGUGGAAGUUGAAGAGCAGCGUAAUCACCAAUCUCACUCCUGCCUUGCCCUCCUGCCAGCACUAUGGCAGCAUCAACUACCCAUGACUCAGCUAAACUGAAGGACUACCUCUUUAAUAGAAUCCACAUCUUUUUGCAUUUUGUGAAAUGUGCAAUAUCAGUGAUCAGGUCUAUUCUUGUCUCUCCCUCUCUCUCUCUGUGUGUGUUUAAACUUAUUUAGAGUUGAAAGCUUCAUUCUAUAUUCUAUUUUUUUCUAAUAAUGUUUUUUUUUUUUUUGUAAUAAUUUAUUCUGUAUUUAUCAUUGCUUAGUUCCAACCCUUUAUGUGUAUAGGUUUAUUUAAUGACAUAUUUAUUUAUUUAAUGUUUUAUUUGUAUAGGGACAGAUACAAUAACUGGGACAACAGCCAUCCAAUGCAUGUAUCAUAGUGCUUGUAGCUGCUAAUUUGCAACACUUGUCCCUAGAAGGGCUUUUAUAAAUUCCAGUUACAACAACAAACUAAUAAUAAUAAUAAUAAUAAUAAUAAUAAUAAAGGGGAAAAAACUAAACAUGAGUACAAGUUUGUUGCUGAAUUAACCAAGACAUAGUAGCUUUUUAAAAAAAUAUUAAAACUUGCAGCAUAUUUUAAAUAAUCAGGUAAUGAGUUCCAAAUUUUUUCACCUUUCACUGAGAGGGCAGUCUGAGCAAAGGAUGUUUUACAAAACAAAAUUUUACAAUUUCCACUAAAAGUUGCUCUUGUGGAUCUGCUGCACCCCUGCAAUCUCUCUCUCUCUCUCUCUCUCUCUCUCUC
Long non-coding RNA from Ctenopharyngodon idella (grass carp), 1046 nucleotides. RefSeq lists it as uncharacterized. NCBI's taxonomy places the organism in Eukaryota, Metazoa, Chordata, Actinopteri, Cypriniformes, Xenocyprididae. The transcript is spliced from 2 exons. The record is from RefSeq and is a predicted model, not a curated record.